Molecule: long non-coding RNA, 922 nt
Organism: Erigeron canadensis
Lineage: Eukaryota; Viridiplantae; Streptophyta; Magnoliopsida; Asterales; Asteraceae
Exons: 4
Source: RefSeq, a predicted model, not a curated record
CGUUGUUUCCUAAUUCUUUCAAGGCCGUUCAAUAAUUUUCAAAAUCAAAAAGCGAUAUAUCAAUCAUAAGAAUAACAAUCCCAUCUCUUCACAAUCGAAAAUUAUAAGAAUCCCAAUUAUUAUCCCUUAUUGUUGAUACCCUAACUCUUCACAAUCGAUCAGCCAUAUAUCAAUUAUAAGAAUCCCAAGUAUUUUACCUUAUUGUUCAUUAUGCUGCCAUGGAUUUACUCUUCACAGUCCUGUAAAUUCAUGACAAGACUCUGGGAUACAAGAGUAACCUAUCCAUUGGGCGGAAUGAUCCAAGGAUACAUGCAAAUACCAUCACACGCAUGUUAGUUAAUAAUUUGGUUGCUCUUAACUCACUCAGGUCAGUAUUUUCAUUCUUAGAGGUUUACCCGAGAGGCUGCGAAGGGCCUUGCUAGAAAACUAGAAUACCAGGGAUGUGAAGGGCCUUAAACUGGAAAACUUUGUUUCUUAAUUAAAGGGCAUUUUCUUGAUGCGGUUAAUUAGACUGGUGAUGACGUUGAAGAUAUGCUGACGAGAUUGGUGAUGCGAAUCUAGCAAUGAGGUAUGUCCAUCUAUUUUAUAAGUUUACCACAUUCAGUUCGCAUAGGGAGUUCCCAGGUAACUUUUGAUUCGUGAUGAACGAUUUGGCAUAGUUUAUGUAUCUUUUUCCAAAACUUCUUUGAGAGUUAUUUAGCAAUUUUAAUUUGCUUGGUAGGGAUGAUUUGGUUAUUAGUGUGAGUGUGGAUGUUGGUGCUAUUUUAGUUGAUGGACUUGGGGAUGGUAUUUUAUUAGAAGAGAUCAAGAAUUUAAGUUUAUCAUACACCUUUGAAUUUGCUAUGUACUAAAGAUACAGGGUGUGGAACACUAGGACCUAUUUGAUGGCUGGUUAUAUACUUGUGGUUGCUUAUUUUUUAUA